AUUGAACGCUGGCGGCAGGCCUAACACAUGCAAGUCGAGCGGAUGAAGGGAGCUUGCUCCUGGAUUCAGCGGCGGACGGGUGAGUAAUGCCUAGGAAUCUGCCUGGUAGUGGGGGAUAACGUCCGGAAACGGGCGCUAAUACCGCAUACGUCCUGAGGGAGAAAGUGGGGGAUCUUCGGACCUCACGCUAUCAGAUGAGCCUAGGUCGGGUUAGCUAGUUGGUGGGGUAAAGGCCUACCAAGGCGACGAUCCGUAACUGGUCUGAGAGGAUGAUCAGUCACACUGGAACUGCGACACGGUCCAGACUCCUACGGGAGGCAGCAGUGGGGAAUAUUGGACAAUGGGCGAAAGCCUGAUCCAGCCAUGCCGCGUGUGUGAAGAAGGUCUUCGGAUUGUAAAGCACUUUAAGUUGGGAGGAAGGGCAGUAAGUUAAUACCUUGCUGUUUUGACGUUACCAACAGAAUAAGCACCGGCUAACUUCGUG
This 484-nucleotide ribosomal RNA is filed under the name uncultured bacterium. Its description in RNAcentral is "partial 16S ribosomal RNA". It matches the Rfam family "Bacterial small subunit ribosomal RNA", at positions 30 to 507 of the family's 1533-position model. The record is from RNAcentral.